CCAGGUGGCGUUCUACAUGUAAACAAGAGUCAAUGGACUACGAAGGAGACUUUACAAGUAAUAACAAAUCUCAUGACAGACAAAUGUAGACCUAUAUUUAAAUAAUUAGACCUCCCUCAUUGGAAAUGGGCUGGACUCCGGCCUAAUAGUCGUUCCUGAUGCUCGUGAUGUAGACAAAGAAGCCACAACUAUCAGGAAAGAAUAUCUGGACUGAAAGGGCAACAGAACUUACCAAUUAUUCAUAGAUACCCACAAAUUGUCACUCAUCAAGCUUCUGGAUAUGAAAUUAAUUAAAAUAUAGUGUGAUUUUUUUUAAUGUUUUCCUCUGUAAAAAUCUCAAAAAUAAUGUUAGCAAUAUGUAUUAAUUCUUGUAGGCUGUAUAUUUAUUAAUAUUGUAUUAUUACCGCUAAUGUUUAUCUUAUUAAUAAAGUAACCCGUUUGUUGUAAAGAAUAUAGACAUGUAAGGUAAUAAGAUAUAACAUUUUUAGGAUUAAAAUCAGGUCUAUUGGUUUUUGCCGGAUGUACAUGAUAUAGACCUACAGUAUAUAAAUAUAAAAUGUAUACAUAUAUCCCAACUUGAUUUCAAUGUUUGAAAAUAAAUAUGAAAUGGAAUUUGCA
Anneissia japonica is the source of this 618-nucleotide long non-coding RNA. RefSeq lists it as uncharacterized. The transcript has 3 exons. The record is from RefSeq and is a predicted model, not a curated record. Lineage: Eukaryota; Metazoa; Echinodermata; Crinoidea; Comatulida; Comatulidae.